CACGUAGGGCGCAAGCGUUGUCCGGAAUUAUUGGGCGUAAAGAGCUCGUAGGCGGUCUGUUGCGUCCGCUGUGAAAACUCGGGGCUUAACCCCGAGCCUGCAGUGGAUACGGGCAGACUAGAGGUAGGUAGGGGAGAAUGGAAUUCCCGGUGUAGCGGUGAAAUGCGCAGAUAUCGGGAGGAACACCGGUGGCGAAGGCAGCGAUCUGGGUAGAUACUGACGCUGAGGUGCGAAAGCCAGGGGAGCGAACGGG
This 253-nucleotide ribosomal RNA is filed under the name uncultured bacterium. Its description in RNAcentral is "partial 16S ribosomal RNA". It matches the Rfam family "Bacterial small subunit ribosomal RNA", at positions 524 to 776 of the family's 1533-position model. The record is from RNAcentral.